CUGGAUUGAGGCAUAACCAUUUCUAGAAAGAGAUUCCUUCUAGUAAAGCGUAAACUGCCCUUCAAUGGAUCAAUAUGGAUCUUCCCUGUGCCUGUCGUUGCCUCUCUCCCUGGGUGUCGUUGCCUCUUCCCCGUGCCUGUCGUUGCCUCUCUCCUCCCUGGGUGUCGUUGCCUCUCUCCUCCCUGGGUGUCGUUGCCUCUUCCCUGUGCCUGUCGUUGCCUCUCUCCUCCCUGCGUGUCGUUGCCUCUCUCCUCCCUGGGUGUCCUUGCCUCUCCCCACGUGCAUGUUGUUGCCUCUUCCUUUGUUGCCUCUCUCCUCCCUGGGUGUCGUUGCCUCUCUCCUCCCUGCGUGUCGUUGCCUCUUCCCUGUGCCUGUCGUUGCCUCUCCCCACGUGCGUGUUGUUGCCUCUCUCCUCCCUGGGUGUCCUUGCCUCUCCCCACGUGCAUGUUGUUGCCUCUUCCUUUGUUGCCUCUCUCCUCCCUGGGUGUCGUUGUUGCCUCUCCCCACCCUGCUUCUCGUUGCCUCUCCCCUCAGCACAGAGGAAAGGGUCCCCAAAUUAUGCAAGAACAGACAAAGUCAAUACUACAAGACCCCUUAGAUUGCUGUGGUGAUAAACCAUAAGAGGAGCGCCUUAAGGAGACGCCAAGUAUAUCUGCACUCUGCAGAAACAUGGACCAGGAAAGGGCUGAGUUGGCAAACGCCACACGCUCCACGCGAAACUUUGUGGUCAUCCAGCAGUUGUUAUGGCUCUGAAGCAGGAAUGACAACAUGAAUGAUGCUCAGAAGUAAUUAAUAGAAUGCAGAGACCCCCAAAAUGAAAUAGAAGACAAAACGUACUUAUCUCUUAGUUCAAACUAAAGGGAAUGUUCUUUUUACCCCAUCUAUGGGACUCCCAGCGGCCUGGGUUGUGGUUCGAGAGACGCUAAUUAGUAUGAUCUAAGCUGGAUGCGUGCAAAGUUUGCACUUUCGGAGGGUGGAUCAAGCUGUCGAAGGUCUGAAAGAAAACAUAUAAAAGUCACUGCCCAGAAGGUCUUCUUAACAGUGUCAUUCACCAGCUCUUGUCUCCGGAAUAUCUGCUCUUCCUACUCUAGCUGCUUUCUGGACUGGAACGUCAACUAUCAACUUUGGAGUGAUGGAUUCAUGGCCAUGGAUAAUAGUCUGUCCUGUUCCUGUUCUUGUUCCUCUUCAUAUUCCUUUGCCCUGGAGACCACGCAGGCAUCCUCCCCUGUCUGUUGGAAUCCCCAUAUCGAUUUUGGAUGCUGUCAGACACCCAUACCUCCUGAGCAACAACCCUGCCCAGAGAUGUGAAGGGUUGUCAGGCCCUAGCUUUCCUUAUGCUUUAUCUGAAAUUCAUUUCCCACCCCUGAUGCAACCAAACUCAUCUGUUUACAAUCCCAGCACAAGCUCACAUCUCCUCGGGUGACAGCUGUGCAGGAUGAGCUGGCCCCUUCAUUGAAUGGGAACAUGAUCAUCACAGGAAUGGAAUGAAAUGGUACCCGAAUUGCACAAAAUGGAUUCACAGCUGAUGAUUGUAUGGGUGUUUGUGCCAGAAAUGUUGAGCCUCCCCAUCCAGAUAAACAAGAGUAGACUGGAUCUAUGAUUGCUCAUCACCUCUGACACUCGUACCUACACCUGCCUGCUCAAAGCUUCAUUUAGGUUUCCCUCUAAUUCUCUUAGAUAUGGACCUUUUUUCUUCCUUUCUUUCAAGGCAACCUGAAGACACUUUGACCAAAAUGCAUGGGAUCCCAAAUUCACUUAUCAUUCUUUGAUGGAUCUCUGAAUAUUUCUCAGGUCUGCAAGGUUUAUGGUGCUUCCGCUUUCCUGAGAAGAUCUGUUUUUUCACUGUGUACCUAUGCCUUGUCUCAUUUUACUCCUCAUUCAUCUGUCAUUUCACUCUUCUGCACAAAAUGUAUUGUUCACCUGUUGAAGCUGCUCAUCAUAGAAAUGCUUUUGUGAACUCCUCUUCCCCCUGCAAUAAACCUCAUCUAUCGGCAUCAAAAUGAUCUGUUGUGGUCCUCCUGUGUUUUACUCAUUUGGGGCAAUCAGGUUUCGAUUCCGGUUGGGUGAGAAUUGCUCGAGAUAGAAGUGAUUUUAGCAAAGAGAGUGUUGAGAGUUCAACACUAAAAUAGUAAAGUCAUAGUGUCUGAUCAUAGUGUAAGGUCCCAAAGUCCAAUUCCAGCAUCCUCUUCAAAAGAAUUAAACAUCUGGGUUGAACUCUCCCUCCUCAGAUAUUAAGACCUGAGCUGAGUUUUGUCGAAUUAUUUCCCCUCAUUGUCAAGGUAUCUCUCAGGACUGUUGUUGAAAUUGGAUCAAGGCAUCACCAUUUCUAGAAAGAGAUUCCCACUGGUAUUCUGUAAGGUGGCGCUCAACGGAUCAAUGUGGUUUGACAUUCUGUUCUAGUAUAGAAUCCAAUUUCAUCUGGAACAUCCUGCAAGUAGGAAUGUCUCACAAAGCAUCAAAGAUGAUUCAACAGAGCAAAGAAUGUGUUAUGGUGUGUGUGACAGAGCUGCUCAAUUUUUUAUUUUUUAAAAAAUCUAUCCAAUAAACAGAGUGCAAUGCAUAA
Molecule: long non-coding RNA, 2563 nt
Organism: Rhineura floridana
Lineage: Eukaryota; Metazoa; Chordata; Lepidosauria; Squamata; Rhineuridae
Exons: 3
Source: RefSeq, a predicted model, not a curated record